Molecule: long non-coding RNA, 314 nt
Organism: Apis dorsata (giant honeybee)
Lineage: Eukaryota; Metazoa; Arthropoda; Insecta; Hymenoptera; Apidae
Exons: 3
Source: RefSeq, a predicted model, not a curated record
UUUUUUUUUUUUUUUUUUUUUUUUUUUUUUUUUUUUUUUUUUUUUGUAUUAAACACGCCUAGCUUUAUUUAACAAGGUGAGAUACAGGAUAGUAGCUAAUGUCUUGUUAAGCACACAAGCUCUGCGACAUCGUUUAUAAGAGACCAAUAUACAGUUGAAGUUACUAACAUUACCUACAAAAUUCUGUGUGUGUAUACACUUUAUAUCUUGAUAUUUAUCUCAUCAACCUCCCUUCUCGCCUUGACGAUGAGAAAGAAAAAGAAAAAGAUCGCUUUAAUCUCAACGUUUUCUCUCGUCUUUACAUAGUUAUCCCC